This is a long non-coding RNA of Dermochelys coriacea (leatherback sea turtle), 783 nucleotides long. RefSeq lists it as uncharacterized. The transcript is spliced from 2 exons. NCBI's taxonomy places the organism in Eukaryota, Metazoa, Chordata, Testudines, Dermochelyidae. The record is from RefSeq and is a predicted model, not a curated record.
UCCGCUUUGCCUGGCCUGAGGAAGUUGGCAGGCGUUGGGCCCGCCCCGCGGGGGUAGCGCCUGCCGCAGGGGGUCGCUCUUACCUCCGCACUGGCCCGCCGGGGGCACCAAGUCCACGCAUGAGGAACCAAUAAGAUUGCCAGAGGUGUGGAGCCCAGCACUGCUCCCCUAUCUUUACAUGUAUGGUUUCUACACACCUCUGAAAACAAUGAGGAAUUUAUGGGGCACAAACAGUGAAAUGCCUUCUGACGAAGACAUAGUACAUGCUGGUUACUACCACCCAUUCAUUGUGAGAGUCACAGAACUACCUUGAACACAGAGAAAAACGGGACUGUCCUCUACAUGAAAAUUACAACUGGGCACCGAAUCACUACGCAUGCCUAGUUUACUGAAACACAGAUGCUAAUGCAACUAUCUGUCUGCAUAAAUACUCAAAUCCUAAAGAAGGUAAUUCUGAUGUAGAACUUUCUGAUUGUUUGGCAUUGUAUGUUAAUACCAGGCUUUGAGCCUGUUUUAGAACAAGAAAAGAAUUAACAGUGGAAUGAAAAGGGCAGCGACUGCUUACAACAUGGUCAUAAACAUUCUCCGCCAAAAUCCCUUUAAUGCUGCCCAAGCAGAGCCCAGAAGAAGAGAAUAAAAUGGGUAUGGCAUAUAGGAAAGAUGACAAAGGCCUUGUCUAUGCAGGAAAUUAAGUCAAAUCAACUAAAGAUGAGAAUUUAAAGCAGGUUAAACUCCUGUGUGGAUGCUCUCAUUCAGAAAUAAAGUGACUUUUAUUUCAAUUUA